Molecule: long non-coding RNA, 600 nt
Organism: Bombus impatiens (common eastern bumble bee)
Lineage: Eukaryota; Metazoa; Arthropoda; Insecta; Hymenoptera; Apidae
Exons: 3
Source: RefSeq, a predicted model, not a curated record
CACACACUAUUUAAAUGCACUGUGUCGCGGACGAUGCGGCCGCGCGUACUUUCAAUACGAAAGAGGGAGAAAACGAUACAUGCGUCUACCUUGCUGCGUUUUCUUACCGGAUGAUUCGAUGAUGGUUGAGCGCUCUUUCGAUGAACAGGUAAUUACAUGACGGUUUCCUUGAUUUCUUGUAACUCUGGUGAUUAGUAUGACGAGGAAAGCAGAAAUACUAGUACAGCGAUAAAAACCGGAACGACUUCCAUGAUCACGAUCCAUGCUUAAUACAUGACAAAGUUCAUCGAUGAAAAGAGAGGACAGCGAGGAAAACAUGGAUAUUACCUGAACGAGGCGCUCUUCCUCUAAAAACAGGAAUUCUUUAACGACGAAAAUAGAGCCAAACGAUAACCAGUGAACAGAACCCCGCAGAAAACAAGAACACCUAUUUAACGAUAGACUCGAGUAAGUCUUGAAUUCUUCUUACUUGGUGCAACAGAAAUUUCCGAAUUAAACGGCAAAGAGAAAAGAAGAGCAAAGACAAAAAUGGAUGUAACCAAUUAAAGGCUAACUUAAAAUUUUUAAUUUUAACUUUAAAUUGUAGAAUCUAGGUAUAUG